UCUCUGCAUGUGCAUAAUGCACCCAGGAAGAAAGUGUGGCCCUCUGCAAGCCAGGAAGAGAGCGACUACCAGAAACCAAAUUUUCUGGCCCCCUGAUUGUAGACUUCUAGCCUCCAGAACUAUAUUCUUCUGCCUCUGCCGCUCCUGAGACAGUAAGACCAACCCCUCCUCUUCCUCCUCCUCCACAGCCUACUCAGUGUGAAGAUGAUGAGGAUGAAAACCUUUAUGAUGAUCCACUUCCACUUCAUGAAUGAAUUCCAGUUAAUGAUUUUCUUAAUAACAUUUUCUUUUCUCUACAUCACUUUAUUGUAAGAAUACAAGUAUAUAAUACAUUUAACUUAUUAUUAACUUAAAUAUGUGUCAAUCAACGGUUUAUGUUAUUGGUAAGGCUUCUGGUCAACAGUAGGCUAUUAGUAAAGUUUUGGGAGAGUGAAAAGUUAUACAGAGUUUUGACUACAUGGUGGGGGGAGGGUCAGUGCCCCAACCCCUGCAUUGUUCAAGGUUCAUUCAACUUUACAUAUAUCAUUGUGAACAGGAUGUUGGUACAAAUAUGGAUGUUAAAGGCCAUUCUGGUGAGGUCUCAGACCAAAAUGAAAAAUAGGUUAUUGGAAACUGAGAAAAGGUGAUUGUUGUUAUAAAGCGUUAAAGAACUUGGCUGAAAUGUGUUCUAACAUAGGGGUCCCCAAUCCCUGGGCUGCACACUGGUACCAGUCCGUGGCCUAUUAGGAACCAGGCCGCACAGCAGGAGGUGAGUGGCGGGCAAGUAAGCAUUGCUACCUGAGCUCUGCCUCUUGCCAGAUCAGCACUGGUGUUAGAUUCUCAUAGGAGCACAGAGCCUAUUGUGACCUGUGCAUGUGAGGAAUCUAGCUUGUACACUCCUUAUGAGAAUCUAAUGAGUGCCUGAUGAUUUGAGGUGAAACAGUUUCAUCCCAAACCCUUCCCAUCCCCUCAGUCUGUGGAAAAAGUGUCUUCAUGAACCUGGUUUCUGGUGCCAAAAACGUCGGGGACUGUUGUUCUAGGGUUUUUAGGGAGGUAGAACUUGUGGGUGAUGAAAUUGAUAUUUAACUAAGAUGUCUCAGCAAAGUGUUGAAGGAGCAGCAUGGUUUCCCCUUAUCACUUACAGUAAAAUAUGAGAGGGGAGAGAUACAUUGAAGGAAUUGUUAAGCAAAAAGAAAUCAGACUUGGAGAUUUGGAAAAUUCUCAGCAUCCCCAUAUUGAAAAAAAAAAAUGGAGAACUUCUGAAGAGAAGAUAACUUUUGAAGAGAACAUUGUAAGUGAGGCUGAGCAACCCUUUGAUAGGAAAUUGGUUUGGAUGUGAAGCACGGAUUUAAUCAGUCAUCGCAGCAAAAGCCAGAGAUGUAGAUGGGGUGAUACCAGCAGAAACAAUGCAAGCUGAGACUAAAGCAGACAGAGAGAAAAAAAGGAUGGAAUGAAGGAAGGCUGUUGGACUUCUGGAAUUCUACAGGAUGAGACAAUAAAGCUCUUUGGGUUUUGUUUUGAGACAGAGUCUUGCUCUGUCACCCAGGCUGGAAUGCAGUGGCGCAAUCUCAGCUCACUGUAACCUCUGCCUCCCUCCCAGGUUCAAGCAAUUUUCCUGCCUCCGCCUCCCAGGAAUUACAAGAGUGUGCCACCACACCAAGCUAAUUUUUGUAUUUUUAAUAUAGACAGGAUUUCACCAUGUUGGCUAGGCUGAUCUCGAACUACUGACCUCAAGUGAUCC
This 1720-nucleotide long non-coding RNA is filed under the name Homo sapiens (human). RNAcentral's name for it is "HSALNT0211533". Lineage: Eukaryota; Metazoa; Chordata; Mammalia; Primates; Hominidae. The record is from RNAcentral.